Molecule: long non-coding RNA, 834 nt
Organism: Bombus impatiens (common eastern bumble bee)
Lineage: Eukaryota; Metazoa; Arthropoda; Insecta; Hymenoptera; Apidae
Exons: 5
Source: RefSeq, a predicted model, not a curated record
AUCUCACAUCGCCUUUCCGUUCGCGUUUCAGAGUCUCAUGACGAUUUGCACUACGAACGGACGGUGAGAAACGGAGCUGAAACGAUUUCUUUCUGCGCGCGUCUUGGAAAACCCGUUGCCACUUUGCCACAACGCACAUUGUUGUAUAUGAUACAACGCGGCACUGCCACUAUGUGACAUCAGGAGGAUAACGGCAACAAUAACAAUAACAACAACAGCGAAGCAUCAACGACGAACACGAUAUACACGCGCUGAACACGCAACAAGCACAGCGGGCAGCCAUAUUAUUACCGUCUUUUCGCAGUCCGCGCCUCUGUUGUAGACAUAAUGGUAACCCGCACCACGGACUCGCUGCUCACCUGCCCAGUGAAGAGAGGAGAAGAAGGAAGAAACGUGCACGUCAGGGUGGUAAAUGUAUCUGGACGUUCGUCAUCAUCGAUUACGUAAAUUAAACGGAAAACGGAACUGGCUUUUGUCUAGCAGGAAGAAAUAUGAAAAUUUUGCGACACAAUGCAACGAUACACAGAAUCUCGACCCCUUCACACACUUACAGACGGUUUGGAUAUAAAUCACGCGGAUUUACGGCCUCAGUUAAAAAGGCUGCAAUAAAGGAAGCAGACAUGGCAGAGUAAAUCAGUGAGAGAUCGCGAAAUACAUAUCACCAUCGCUGCAACAGGGCGUGAAAAGAGCUUUACCAAAUCUCUGGCAGAAUUCCCAAGGAAGUCUGAAGGAGAAUGAUCCGUAGUAGUACAACCUUGAAAGCAGUAAAGUGGUCGAGUAAUACCAAGAAAGUAAAAUAACUACUUAGUUGAGUGAUAAAUCGAUUUUCGCAAA